UACGAAGGGGGCUAGCGUUGCUCGGAAUUACUGGGCGUAAAGCGCACGUAGGCGGUCUUUUAAGUCGGGGGUGAAAUCCUGGAGCUCAACUCCAGAACUGCCUUCGAUACUGGAAGACUCGAGUCCGGGAGAGGUGAGUGGAACUGCGAGUGUAGAGGUGAAAUUCGUAGAUAUUCGCAAGAACACCAGUGGCGAAGGCGGCUCACUGGCCCGGUACUGACGCUGAGGUGCGAAAGCGUGGGGAGCAAACGGG
RNAcentral lists this ribosomal RNA (253 nucleotides) under uncultured bacterium. RNAcentral describes it as "partial 16S ribosomal RNA". It matches the Rfam family "Bacterial small subunit ribosomal RNA", at positions 524 to 776 of the family's 1533-position model. The record is from RNAcentral.